CGCUGGCGGCAUGCCUAACACAUGCAAGUCGAACGGUAACAGGUCUUCGGAUGCUGACGAGUGGCGCACGGGUGAGUAACGCGUGGAUAUCUGCCUAUGAGUGGGGGACAACUUUCGGAAACGAAAGCUAAUACCGCAUAAUCUCUACGGAGCAAAGCAGGGGACCUUUCGGGGCYUUGUGCUKAUAGAUGAGUCCGCGUCAGAUUAGCUAGUUGGUGGGGUAAGAGCCUACCAAGGCGAUGAUCUGUAGCUGGUUUGAGAGGAUGAUCAGUCACACUGGAACUGAGACACGGUCCAGACUCCUACGGGAGGCAGCAGUGGGGAAUUUUGCACAAUGGGCGCAAGCCUGAUGCAGCGAUGCCGCGUGUGGGAAGAAGGCCUUUGGGUUGUAAACCACUUUCAAUUGGGAAGAAGGGAUGAGUAUUAAUAAUACUCUGACUUGACGGUACCUUUAGAAGAAGCACCGGCUAAUUUCGUGCCAGCAGCCGCGGUAAUACGAAAGGUGCAAGCGUUGUUCGGAUUUACUGGGCGUAAAGAGAUCGUAGGUGGUUUGUUAAGUUAGAUGUGAAAUCCCGGGGCUCAACCUCGGAACUGCAUCUAAAACUGGCAGACUUGAGUUCGGGAGGGGUAAGCGGAAUUCCGUGUGUAGCAGUGAAAUGCGUAGAUAUACGGAGGAACACCUGAGGCGAAGGCGGCUUACUGGACCGAUACUGACACUGAGGAUCGAAAGCGUGGGUAGCAAACAGGAUUAGAUACCCUGGUAGUCCACGCCCUAAACGAUGUCAACUAGCCGUUGCGGGUAUCGACCCCUGCAGUGGCGCAGCUAACGCGAUAAGUUGACCGCCUGGGGAGUACGGUC
This 859-nucleotide ribosomal RNA is filed under the name uncultured Zetaproteobacteria bacterium. Its description in RNAcentral is "bacterial SSU rRNA". It matches the Rfam family "Bacterial small subunit ribosomal RNA", at positions 34 to 887 of the family's 1533-position model. The record is from RNAcentral. Lineage: Bacteria; Pseudomonadati; Pseudomonadota; Candidatius Mariprofundia.